AAGAGCUCAAAGUUGGAACCUGUUUGGCUUAGCUAAACCGGAUUGUAAACUGUAGAAGUGUUUUCCAGACACGCCUGGUAAAAAAGUCCUUUGGAACAGGGCAUCAUAGAGGGUGAGAAUCCCGUCAUUGGCCAGAGCUGUUGUCUUUUGUGAUACAUUUUCAAAGAGUCAGGUUGUUUGGGAAUGCAGCCUAAAUUGGGUGGUAAAUCUCACCUAAAGCUAAAUAUUUGCGAGAGACCGAUAGCGAACAAGUACCGUGAGGGAAAGAUGAAAAGAACUUUGAAAAGAGAGUUAAACAGUAUGUGAAAUUGUUAAAAGGGAACCGUUUGGAGCCAG
This 336-nucleotide ribosomal RNA is filed under the name Mucor irregularis. RNAcentral's name for it is "eukaryotic LSU rRNA". It matches the Rfam family "Eukaryotic large subunit ribosomal RNA", at positions 103 to 432 of the family's 3401-position model. The record is from RNAcentral. Lineage: Eukaryota; Fungi; Mucoromycota; Mucoromycetes; Mucorales; Mucoraceae.